UAGGGAAUCUUCCGCAAUGGGCGAAAGCCUGACGGAGCAACGCCGCGUGAGUGAAGAAGGAUUUCGGUUCGUAAAGCUCUGUUGUUAGGGAAGAAUGAUUGUGUAGUAACUAUACACAGUAGAGACGGUACCUAACCAGAAAGCCACGGCUAACUACGUGCCAGCAGCCGCGGUAAUACGUAGGUGGCAAGCGUUGUCCGGAAUUAUUGGGCGUAAAGCGCGCGCAGGUGGUUUAAUAAGUCUGAUGUGAAAGCCCACGGCUCAACCGUGGAGGGUCAUUGGAAACUGUUAAACUUGAGUGCAGGAGAGAAAAGUGGAAUUCCUAGUGUAGCGGUGAAAUGCGUAGAGAUUAGGAGGAACACCAGCGGCGAAGGCGGCUUUUUGGCCUGUAACUGACACUGAGGCGCGAAAGCGUGGGGGAGCAAACAGGAUUAGAUACCCUGGUAGUCCACGCCGUAAACGAUGAGUGCUAAAGUGUUGGUCUCAUAAGAGAUCAGUGCUGCAGCUACGCAUUAAGCACUCCGCCUGGGGAGUACGACCGCAAGGUUG
Molecule: ribosomal RNA, 549 nt
Filed under: uncultured bacterium
Lineage: Bacteria
Description: bacterial SSU rRNA
Rfam family: Bacterial small subunit ribosomal RNA
Source: RNAcentral